UACAGAGGAUGCAAGCGUUAUCCGGAAUCAUUGGGUUUAAAGGGUGCGCAGGCGGUAAAGUAAGUCAGUGGUGAAAUCUCUUCGCUCAACGGAGAAACUGCCAUUGAUACUGCUAUACUUGAAUAUAGUUGAAGUAGGCGGAAUGUGUAGUGUAGCGGCGAAAUGCUUAGAUAUUACACAGAACACCAAUAGCGAAGGCAGCUUACUAAACUAAUAUUGACGCUCAUGCACGAAAGCGUGGGGAGCGAACAGG
This 253-nucleotide ribosomal RNA is filed under the name uncultured bacterium. RNAcentral describes it as "partial 16S ribosomal RNA". It matches the Rfam family "Bacterial small subunit ribosomal RNA", at positions 524 to 776 of the family's 1533-position model. The record is from RNAcentral.